Molecule: ribosomal RNA, 433 nt
Filed under: uncultured bacterium
Lineage: Bacteria
Description: partial 16S ribosomal RNA
Rfam family: Bacterial small subunit ribosomal RNA
Source: RNAcentral
AACGAACGCUGGCGGCAUGCCUAACACAUGCAAGUCGAACGAGACCUUCGGGUCUAGUGGCGCACGGGUGCGUAACGCGUGGGAACCUGCCUUUAGGUUCGGAAUAACUCAGAGAAAUUUGAGCUAAUACCGGAUGAUGUCUUCGGACCAAAGAUUUAUCGCCUUUAGAUGGGCCCGCGUUGGAUUAGCUAGUUGGUGGGGUAAAGGCCUACCAAGGCGACGAUCCAUAGCUGGUCUGAGAGGAUGAUCAGCCACACUGGGACUGAGACACGGCACAGACUCCUACGGGAGGCAGCAGUGGGGAAUAUUGGACAAUGGGCGAAAGCCUAAUCCAGCAAUGCCGCGUGAGUGAUGAAGGCCUUAGGGUUGUAAAGCUCCUUUACCCGAGAUGAUAAUGACAGUAUCGGGAGAAUAAGCUCCGGCUAACUCCGUG